AGUGAACGCUGGCGGUAGGCCUAACACAUGCAAGUCGAACGGCAGCACAGUAAGAGCUUGCUCUUACGGGUGGCGAGUGGCGGACGGGUGAGGAAUACAUCGGAAUCUACUUUUUCGUGGGGGAUGACGUAGGGAAACUUACGCUAAUACCGCAUACGACCUACGGGUGAAAGCAGGGGAUCUUCGGACCUUGCGCGAUUGAAUGAGCCGAUGUCGGAUUAGCUAGUUGGCGGGGUAAAGGCCCACCAAGGCGACGAUCCGUAGCUGGUCUGAGAGGAUGAUCAGCCACACUGGGACUGAGACACGGUCCAGACUCCUACGGGAGGCAGCAGUGGGGAAUAUUGGACAAUGGGCGCAGGCCUGAUCCAGCCAUACCGCGUGGGUGAAGAAGGCCUUCGGGUUGUAAAGCCCUUUUGUUGGGAAAGAAAAGCAGCAGGUUAAUACCCCGCUGUUCUGACGGUACCCAAAGAAUAAGCACCGGCUAACUUCGUG
This 492-nucleotide ribosomal RNA is filed under the name uncultured bacterium. RNAcentral's name for it is "partial 16S ribosomal RNA". It matches the Rfam family "Bacterial small subunit ribosomal RNA", at positions 29 to 507 of the family's 1533-position model. The record is from RNAcentral.